UACUUUAGCUUGCUAGAGUAGAAGGAGUUGCGAACGGGUGAGUAACGCGUAGGUAACCUGCCUACUAGCGGGGGGAUAACUAUUGGAAACGAUAGCUAAUACCGCAUAACAGUGUUUAACACAUGUUAGAUGCUUGAAAGAUGCAAAUGCAUCACUAGUAGAUGGACCUGCGUUGUAUUAGCUAGUUGGUGGGGUAACGGCCUACCAAGGCGACGAUACAUAGCCGACCUGAGAGGGUGAUCGGCCACACUGGGACUGAGACACGGCCCAGACUCCUACGGGAGGCAGCAGUAGGGAAUCUUCGGCAAUGGGGGCAACCCUGACCGAGCAACGCCGCGUGAGUGAAGAAGGUUUUCGGAUCGUAAAGCUCUGUUGUAAGAGAAGAACGUGUGUGAGAGUGGAAAGUUCACACA
RNAcentral lists this ribosomal RNA (413 nucleotides) under uncultured bacterium. Its description in RNAcentral is "bacterial SSU rRNA". It matches the Rfam family "Bacterial small subunit ribosomal RNA", at positions 71 to 470 of the family's 1533-position model. The record is from RNAcentral.